AACGAACGCUGGCGGCAUGCCUAACACAUGCAAGUCGAACGAAGGCUUCGGCCUUAGUGGCGCACGGGUGCGUAACGCGUGGGAAUCUGCCCUUUGGUUCGGAAUAACAGCUGGAAACGGCUGCUAAUACCGGAUGAUGAUGAAAGUCCAAAGAUUUAUCGCCAGAGGAUGAGCCCGCGUUGGAUUAGGUAGUUGGUGGGGUAAAGGCCUACCAAGCCGAGGAUCCAUAGCUGGUCUGAGAGGAUGAUCAGCCACACUGGAACUGAGACACGGCCCAGACUCCGACGGGAGGCAGCAGUGGGGAAUAUUGGACGAGGGGCGCAAGCCUGAUCCCGCAAUGCCGCGUGAGUGAGGAAGGCGCUAGGGUUGUAAAGCUCUUUUACCCGGGAAGAUAAUGACUGUACCGGGAGAAUAAGCCCCGGCUAACUCCGUG
This 433-nucleotide ribosomal RNA is filed under the name uncultured bacterium. Its description in RNAcentral is "partial 16S ribosomal RNA". It matches the Rfam family "Bacterial small subunit ribosomal RNA", at positions 29 to 507 of the family's 1533-position model. The record is from RNAcentral.